Non-coding RNA from Pelobates cultripes (western spadefoot toad), 240 nucleotides. Lineage: Eukaryota; Metazoa; Chordata; Amphibia; Anura; Pelobatidae. The record is from the annotation of a GenBank genome assembly.
CUGAGAGAACACAGUAUGGAGAGAGUACUGAAACAGAGAACACAGAAUGGAGAGAGUACUCAUAGACGAAGAGAAUACAGUAUGGAGAGAGUACUCAUAGACUGAGAGAGCACAGUAUGGAGAGAGUACUCAUAGACUGAGAGAGCACAGUAUGGAGAGAGUACUCAUAGACUGAGAGAACACAGUAUGGAGAGAGUACUCAUAGUCUGCUAAAGUUACUCUGGUGUGAGGAGGGGGGGC